RNAcentral lists this RNase P RNA (385 nucleotides) under Marivivens donghaensis. RNAcentral's name for it is "RNase P RNA component class A". It matches the Rfam family "Bacterial RNase P class A". From Rfam's summary of the family: Ribonuclease P (RNase P) is a ubiquitous endoribonuclease, found in archaea, bacteria and eukarya as well as chloroplasts and mitochondria. Its best characterised activity is the generation of mature 5'-ends of tRNAs by cleaving the 5'-leader elements of precursor-tRNAs. Cellular RNase Ps are ribonucleoproteins. Lineage: Bacteria; Pseudomonadati; Pseudomonadota; Alphaproteobacteria; Rhodobacterales; Paracoccaceae. The record is from RNAcentral.
GCGGAUGGCUGGAUGACCGCAGGUUUACCUGAGGAAAGUCCGGACACCAAAAGGCACGGUGCCGGGUAACGCCCGGCGGGGGUAACCCCAGGGAUAGCGCCACAGAGAACAGACUACCCUGCAUGCAGGGAAAAGGUGAAACGGUGGAGUAAGAGACCACCGCGGGACUGGCAACAGGACCGGCAUGGCAAGCCCCACCGGGUGCAAUGCCAAAUAGGGACCACGCGCGGGAUUGAUAGGUUCGCCUAUAUCGCCGCAGGGACGCCUGACCCCGAGUGGUCCGGGUUGGCAGCUAGAGGCUCGUUGGUAACAGCGGGCCAAGAUGAAUGGUCAUCCAGAGGGCUUGUCCCUCGGACAAAAUCCGGCUUAUAGGCCAUCCGCGCAU